AUGACGACUCACGGCGUGACG
This 21-nucleotide unclassified non-coding RNA is filed under the name Chlamydomonas reinhardtii. RNAcentral's name for it is "small RNA Cre_0714". Lineage: Eukaryota; Viridiplantae; Chlorophyta; Chlorophyceae; Chlamydomonadales; Chlamydomonadaceae. The record is from RNAcentral.